RNAcentral lists this long non-coding RNA (254 nucleotides) under Monodelphis domestica (gray short-tailed opossum). Its description in RNAcentral is "lncRNA (ENSMODG00000036742.1)". The record is from RNAcentral. Lineage: Eukaryota; Metazoa; Chordata; Mammalia; Didelphimorphia; Didelphidae.
UCCUCUGAAGGUGCCCAUUCAAGGAUGUCUCCCUGCUUCAGCUAGACUGGUUUGCCCACCCUCUAGGUAUCAGUUGUCUUGCAGUUGGUGUUGGUGCUCUUUUCUCCAAAGGAUCUUUCUUCCUUUAUGCUGAAGACAAGGGCUCUAUAAAUCUCAAGGCACCAGAGGAAUUUGUUGUCCUUUCAGAAAUGUGAGUAAUUACAAGUCAAAAUGAAUUACCUUGGAGAAGUCAAACUGGAUCACUAAUCAUUGCC